GAAUGCUUAUGACACACUCUGUAGACACUUGAAAAGCAAGGGAAGAGAAGAUUAGCGUGGCCCCUGCGAAAGGAUGACACACAAAUNCCUGAAGCAUACUGUGUUUAA
Molecule: small nuclear RNA, 108 nt
Filed under: Salvator merianae (Argentine black and white tegu)
Lineage: Eukaryota; Metazoa; Chordata; Lepidosauria; Squamata; Teiidae
Source: RNAcentral